UGAAGCUUAGGGCGGGGGAGUACUGGGAAAUGCCCAAGGACAUAAGGUAUAAACUGGGAAUGCUGGGAUUUGGAAGCUUGUUUCAGAAGUCUAGGGAGAAAUCUGAGAGUCCAAGUGGUAAAGAGAAAGUGUGAACUUACAAACAGUGGCCCGUGUGCAGAAACAGUUGUCCAGUCAAAGCUUCCUGAAUGUCACACCGCCAUUCAGUCAUCCCUGAAGAGGCCCACUACAUCCAACUCUAAGUACAGACCAUGUGACUAUCAGAAAUACGUAAAGAAAUACUAUGAAUGUAAAA
Molecule: long non-coding RNA, 295 nt
Filed under: Rattus norvegicus (Norway rat)
Lineage: Eukaryota; Metazoa; Chordata; Mammalia; Rodentia; Muridae
Description: long non-coding RNA NONRATT011831
Source: RNAcentral